RNAcentral lists this ribosomal RNA (504 nucleotides) under Parabacteroides merdae. RNAcentral's name for it is "SSU rRNA". It matches the Rfam family "Eukaryotic small subunit ribosomal RNA", at positions 1181 to 1708 of the family's 1831-position model. The record is from RNAcentral. Lineage: Bacteria; Pseudomonadati; Bacteroidota; Bacteroidia; Bacteroidales; Tannerellaceae.
GCCUGCGGCUUAAUUUGACUCAACACGGGGAAACUCUCCAGGUCCAGACACAAUAAGGAUUGACAGAUUGAGAGCUCUUUCUUGAUUUUGUGGGUGGUGGUGCAUGGCCGUUCUUAGUUGGUGGAGUGAUUUGUCUGCUUAAUUGCGAUAACGAACGAGACCUUAACCUACUAAAUAGUGGUGCUAGCAUUUGCUGGUUAUCCACUUCUUAGAGGGACUAUCGGUUUCAAGCCGAUGGAAGUUUGAGGCAAUAACAGGUCUGUGAUGCCCUUAGACGUUCUGGGCCGCACGCGCGCUACACUGACGGAGCCAGCGAGUCUAACCUUGGCCGAGAGGUCUUGGUAAUCUUGUGAAACUCCGUCGUGCUGGGGAUAGAGCAUUGUAAUUAUUGCUCUUCAACGAGGAAUUCCUAGUAAGCGCAAGUCAUCAGCUUGCGUUGAUUACGUCCCUGCCCUUUGUACACACCGCCCGUCGCUAGUACCGAUUGAAUGGCUUAGUGAGGCC